This 514-nucleotide ribosomal RNA is filed under the name uncultured bacterium. Its description in RNAcentral is "bacterial SSU rRNA". It matches the Rfam family "Bacterial small subunit ribosomal RNA", at positions 15 to 518 of the family's 1533-position model. The record is from RNAcentral.
GAUCAUGGCUCAGGAUGAACGCUAGCUACAGGCUUAACACAUGCAAGUCGAGGGGCAGCAUGGAGUUUGCUUGCAAACUCUGAUGGCGACCGGCGCACGGGUGAGUAACGCGUAUCCAACCUUCCCUAUACUAGAGAAUAGCCCGGCGAAAGUCGGAUUAAUACUCUAUGUUGUAUUUAGAGGACAUCUGAAGAAUACCAAAGGUUUACCGGUAUAGGAUGGGGAUGCGUCUGAUUAGGUUGUUGGCGGGGUAACGGCCCACCAAGCCGACGAUCAGUAGGGGUUCUGAGAGGAAGGUCCCCCACAUUGGAACUGAGACACGGUCCAAACUCCUACGGGAGGCAGCAGUGAGGAAUAUUGGUCAAUGGGCGAGAGCCUGAACCAGCCAAGUAGCGUGCAGGAUGACGGCCCUAUGGGUUGUAAACUGCUUUUAUGCGGGGAUAAAGUUCACUACGUGUAGUGUUUUGCAGGUACCGCAUGAAUAAGGACCGGCUAAUUCCGUGCCAGCCGCCGC